RNAcentral lists this unclassified non-coding RNA (347 nucleotides) under soil metagenome. RNAcentral's name for it is "partial contains 5.8S ribosomal RNA, internal transcribed spacer 2, and large subunit ribosomal RNA". The stretch from base 3 to 119 matches the Rfam family "5.8S ribosomal RNA", at positions 38 to 154 of the family's 154-position model. The record is from RNAcentral.
GAGAAGAACGCAGCGAAAUGCGAUAAGUAAUGUGAAUUGCAGAAUUCAGUGAAUCAUCGAAUCUUUGAACGCACAUUGCGCCCGCCAGUAUUCUGGCGGGCAUGCCUGUCUGAGCGUCAUUUCAACCCUCAUGCCCCUAGGGCGUGGUGUUGGGGAUCGGCCAAAGCCCGCGAGGGACGGCCGGCCCCUAAAUCUAGUGGCGGACCCGUCGUGACCUCCUCUGCGAAGUAGUGAUAUUCCGCAUCGGAGAGCGAUGAGCCCCUGCCGUUAAACCCCCAACUUUCCAAGGUUGACCUCAGAUCAGGUAGGAAUACCCGCUGAACUUAAGCAUAUCAAUAAGCGGAGGA